RNAcentral lists this non-coding RNA (28 nucleotides) under Mus musculus (house mouse). The record is from RNAcentral. Lineage: Eukaryota; Metazoa; Chordata; Mammalia; Rodentia; Muridae.
CCACUUACUGAGUGCCGUCUUUUGCCAG